GAGUUGUUGAACGCUCAAGAUCUACAAGCAUUUACAAUAGAACUUGUAUUAGAAACAAGAUGCCUCCAUACUUUGCAAAUGAAGUGAAAGGAAGUAGAACAUGAAAAAUACGAGAGAUUCAAUAAAGUAGGUUCCAAGCAUUCAGAUUUUACCGGACAUAGGUCAUUGACUAUCUCAUCAUAAGAUAUUCUGAAUUUUUGGAAUAUAACC
Molecule: long non-coding RNA, 210 nt
Organism: Panicum virgatum (switchgrass)
Lineage: Eukaryota; Viridiplantae; Streptophyta; Magnoliopsida; Poales; Poaceae
Exons: 2
Source: RefSeq, a predicted model, not a curated record